AUUGAUGGAGAGUUUGAUCCUGGCUCAGGAUGAACGCUGGCGGCGUGCCUAACACAUGCAAGUCGAACGGUCCCUUCGGGGA
Molecule: ribosomal RNA, 82 nt
Filed under: Chloroflexota bacterium
Lineage: Bacteria; Bacillati; Chloroflexota
Description: Chloroflexi bacterium partial 16S ribosomal RNA
Rfam family: Bacterial small subunit ribosomal RNA
Source: RNAcentral